Molecule: long non-coding RNA, 2355 nt
Organism: Eubalaena glacialis (North Atlantic right whale)
Lineage: Eukaryota; Metazoa; Chordata; Mammalia; Artiodactyla; Balaenidae
Exons: 3
Source: RefSeq, a predicted model, not a curated record
GGGAGGGAGAGGAGAGGCUACUGGACUAGGAGGGAGAACAGGUGUGAGAGAUGACAGUGGAAAUCAAGGAAGAGACAAGAGGAUGAAAGAUCUGCUCUGCUCUCCUGACGGCCAAAGGUUGUGGUCGUUGUUUUCACCAAUGGAAAUCAUCCCCCAGUGGGAGAGAGGAAGCCAUGGUGGAGAAGCAGAGAGACAGGAACACAACAGACACACAUGGAGUGAGGCUGGAAAGCAGCAGUGUCUCAGAGCGACAUAGUGGAGAUGGUCUCCAGAGCCUCAGGUCAGAGGGGGACAGUGGGCAGGGGGCCGAAGGUGGUGAUGGCCCUCAGCGUGGCUCAGGACAGCAGUGUGUACACCAGGGCAAUGCAGGAAGCAGGCCUGGGACCCCUUGGGCAAUAGUUUAGAGGAAAAAACACAAGGAAAGAAUGAAAAUGGCAUCAGAGAAGACCCUCUGCUUCUCAUCUGGAGUACCGUCAGUGUUGAGCUCUAUAGUUCAGGAUCAGGGAUUCUCAACCUUGCAUGAAUCGUAAUUACCUGGAGGGCUAUUAAAACACAGACCACUGGGUCCUGCUCCCCAGAGCUUCUGAUUCAGGAGAUCUGGGGUGGGGCCUGAGAAUUUGCAUUUCUAAACUGUUCCCAGAUGAUACUAAAGCUACUGGUCUGGAGACCACAUCUUGAGGGCCACUGUUGUUCAAAAAUGAGGAGCAGUUAGAAUUACUUAGAGAAGCUAUGAGGACAGAGAAGACACAAAGUUUCAGGGGUGAGUGUGACCUGAGGUUAGCCCCUGGGUCUGUUUAGGCUCUCUCCCAUGCUAAACUCAAAUACAACUUCCCCUCAGAAACCCCAAGACCCACAAAGAACCAGAAGCCUCAGGCAAUGAGAGAGGAAAAUGAAGAUGGAGUGGGCUCUAGAUCUAAUGAGACAAAUAGAGCUGAUGGCUGGACACAGGCGAAUCGCAGAUGUGCGGAAGGACGACGAUAUGGCUGGAGACGCUGCUGGGAGGUGGAGUUGAACAAAUGACAGCGGGAUGAAUAACAGAUGAGAAGGAAUGGGGACUUUGGCAAAGUAAAAAUCUUAUUUGACUCAAAGUAUGAGUGGACCAGCAGAGAGAUAAAAGGAAAAAGAAAUCACAAACAAACUCGGGGCUCCUAGGACAGCAAAAGGAAAUGCACGCAGGGCAACCAGAGAACCAAGAGAAGAAACCCCAACCAUUUCCCUCAAGGCUGUAUUCCUGAUAAAGCACCAGGAACUCUCCUCCAAGGAGCUUAGGAACUGGGCUGAAGAGUGGGACUGGAUUUUUGUUUGAUCUUCUCCUUUAGAAUCCUCCACUCAGGGCAGAAUUAUUCAGAUUAAUUUCCACUCCCUUGCUAUGUCCCUCCCCCAAGUCUGUAACCGAUGGGUUACAUCAGUUUCUCUAAGGGACAAAUCUAAGAUCCCUAUUAGCUUUUUUCUCCCUUAUCCCUUGCUCUUCUGAAUAUGCCAAGAGGUUGCCCAGCACCUCAAGCUAAGUCACGUAUUUGGAAUUCACUCUGCCCCCUUCACCUUCAAGGGAAACUGGUUUAUAGACACCGUGCCGGUGCCUGAACCGACCAGCUCUCCAGCGCCGGAAUUGUGGCUGCUCUCGGAGGGGAGGAGGGCAGCUGAGAAACAACCCACGGAGACAGCAUGUAGCAGGUUAGGACAGGGGCAAGUCUGCAGAUCAGACAAGCGUGCAAUGCCACGAGGUUAAAGGGGUAAAGUCGUUCUGAGCCACAGUGGAUGGUAAAUGCCGAUUGUGGUGCUGGAGUUGGAACCGCUCAGGAGGAGGCCUUGCCCACUAGUUCUGUGCCCGCGGACUCCAAGCCCUCUGCAUAUCUCGGCCACAGGGACACCUUACGCUGCCUCUUCCCCGCCACCCGCAGGGGCUUCAUUCUCCCUUCUUCCUCUGCCAGUGUUCCGGUCACCACAGCCAACCGUGUCCCUCUCUCACACACACUGUGAGGGAGCAUAAAAGGAGAGCAUGCAGCUAGCUACCAAAGAGGCGAGGAGAAGCCCACCGGCUCCAGAGGGAGCCCCCAGCUAGCUCCCGAGAGGGAGUCGGGCGCUCACAGCUGCGGGGCAGAGACAGCCGAGCGUGUCCGCAGCACUUGGACCGGCACCGGCCGGCCCGCCUCCGCGAUGCGAACAGCUGGCGCUGUCAGACACGCUCAGAGCCCAGCGACCCGAUCCCUUAACGCGUUUGUCAGCCCCAACUCUUCCAGACUCUUCUCUGGUCUCCGGAAAGGCCCGCGUCCCGCAAGCCUCGAUCCCCGCUGCUCGCACACGGGUACCUGGGUGGCUGGCACUUGACUCUCCAUCCUGUCCCCGGGACCCAGC